Molecule: ribosomal RNA, 465 nt
Filed under: uncultured bacterium
Lineage: Bacteria
Description: partial 16S ribosomal RNA
Rfam family: Bacterial small subunit ribosomal RNA
Source: RNAcentral
CCAGACUCCUACGGGAGGCAGCAGUGAGGAAUAUUGGUCAAUGGGCGGAAGCCUGAACCAGCCAAGUCGCGUGAGGGAAGAAGGCCCUGCGGGUCGCAGACCUCUUUGGACGGGGAGCAAGGCCGCCGACGUGUCGGCGGAAGGAGAGUACCCGUAGAACAAGCAUCGGCUAACUACGUGCCAGCAGCCGCGGUAAUACGUAGGGAGCAAGCGUUAUCCGGAUUUAUUGGGUGUAAAGGGUGCGUAGACGGGAAGGCAAGUUGGUUGUGAAAUCCCUCGGCUUAACUGAGGAACUGCAACCAAAACUAUCUUUCUUGAGUGCUGGAGAGGAAAGUGGAAUUCCUAGUGUAGCGGUGAAAUGCGUAGAUAUUAGGAGGAACACCAGUGGCGAAGGCGACUUUCUGGACAGUAACUGACGUUGAGGCACGAAAGUGUGGGGAGCAAACAGGAUUAGAUACCCGAGUA